This 425-nucleotide ribosomal RNA is filed under the name uncultured bacterium. RNAcentral describes it as "partial 16S ribosomal RNA". It matches the Rfam family "Bacterial small subunit ribosomal RNA", at positions 354 to 796 of the family's 1533-position model. The record is from RNAcentral.
GUGGGGAAUAUUGGACAAUGGGGGCAACCCUGAUCCAGCAAUGCCGCGUGUGUGAAGAAGGUCUUCGGAUCGUAAAGCACUUUCGACGGGGACGAUGAUGACGGUACCCGUAGAAGAAGCCCCGGCUAACUUCGUGCCAGCAGCCGCGGUAAUACGAAGGGGGCUAGCGUUGCUCGGAAUUACUGGGCGUAAAGGGCGCGUAGGCGGCUCUGUUAGUCAGGCGAGAAAUUCCUGGGCUUAACCUGGGGACUGCGCUUGAUACUGCGGAGCUUGAGGCCGAGAGAGGGUGGUGGAAUUCCCAGUGUAGAGGUGAAAUUCGUAGAUAUUGGGAAGAACACCGGUGGCGAAGGCGACCACCUGGCUCGGUACUGACGCUGAGGCGCGACAGCGUGGGGAGCAAACAGGAUUAGAAACCCUAGUAGUCC